GGUUUAAGAGGCCUAAUGGUUAGAGCAUCCAUCUCAGGUGCGGGGGGUCGCGGGUUCGAACCCUGUCCAAGUCA
Molecule: non-coding RNA, 74 nt
Organism: Potamilus streckersoni
Lineage: Eukaryota; Metazoa; Mollusca; Bivalvia; Unionida; Unionidae
Source: the annotation of a GenBank genome assembly